Molecule: ribosomal RNA, 274 nt
Filed under: uncultured bacterium
Lineage: Bacteria
Description: partial 16S ribosomal RNA
Rfam family: Bacterial small subunit ribosomal RNA
Source: RNAcentral
AUACGGAGGUUGCAAGCGUUACUCGGAAUCACUGGGCGUAAAGGACGCGUAGGCGGGUUGGUAAGUCAGGUGUGAAAUCCUACAGCUUAACUGUAGAACUGCACUUGAAACUACCAACCUAGAGUAUGGGAGGGGGAGAUGGAAUUAGUGGUGUAGGGGUAAAAUCCGUAGAUAUCACUAGGAAUACCGAAAGCGAAGGCGAUCUCCUGGAACAUAACUGACGCUAAGGCGUGAAAGAGUGGGGAGCAAACAGGAUUAGAAACCCGAGUAGUCC